Molecule: ribosomal RNA, 432 nt
Filed under: uncultured bacterium
Lineage: Bacteria
Description: partial 16S ribosomal RNA
Rfam family: Bacterial small subunit ribosomal RNA
Source: RNAcentral
AACGAACGCUGGCGGCAGGCCUAACACAUGCAAGUCGAGCGAGGACUUCGGUCCUAGCGGCGGACGGGUGAGUAACGCGUGGGAACGUGCCCUUUGCUUCGGAAUAGCCCUGGGAAACUGGGAGUAAUACCGGAUGAGCCCUUUGGGGGAAAGAUUUAUCGGCGAAGGAUCGGCCCGCGUUGGAUUAGGUAGUUGGUGGGGUAAUGGCCUACCAAGCCGACGAUCCAUAGCUGGUUUGAGAGGAUGAUCAGCCACACUGGGACUGAGACACGGCCCAGACUCCUACGGGAGGCAGCAGUGGGGAAUCUUAGACAAUGGGGGAAACCCGGAUCUAGCCAUGCCGCGUGAGCGAUGAAGGCCUUAGGGUUGUAAAGCUCUUUCAGCUGGGAAGAUAAUGACGGUACCAGCAGAAGAAGCCCCGGCUAACUCCGU